This 397-nucleotide ribosomal RNA is filed under the name uncultured bacterium. Its description in RNAcentral is "partial 16S ribosomal RNA". It matches the Rfam family "Bacterial small subunit ribosomal RNA", at positions 523 to 918 of the family's 1533-position model. The record is from RNAcentral.
AUACGUAGGGGGCGAGCGUUGUCCGGAAUGAUUGGGCGUAAAGGGCGCGUAGGCGGCCCGGUAAGUCUGGAGUGAAAGUCCUGUUUUUAAGAUGGGAAUUGCUUUGGAUACUGUCGGGCUUGCGUGCAGGAGAGGUAAGUGGAAUUCCCAGUGUAGCGGUGAAAUGCGUAGAGAUUGGGAGGAACACCAGUGGCGAAGGCGACUUACUGGACUGUAACUGACGCUGAGGCGCGAAAGUGUGGGGAGCAAACAGGAUUAGAUACCCUGGUAGUCCACACUGUAAACGAUGAAUGCUAGGUGUAGGGGGUAUCGACCCCUUCUGUGCCGCAGUCAACACAAUAAGCAUUCCGCCUGGGGAGUACGGCCGCAAGGUUGAAACUCAAAUGAAUUGACGGGG